AUUGAACGCUGGCGGCAUGCCUUACACAUGCAAGUCGAACGGCAGCAUGAUCUAGCUUGCUAGAUUGAUGGCGAGUGGCGAACGGGUGAGUAAUACAUCGGAACGUGCCCUGUAGUGGGGGAUAACUAGUCGAAAGAUUAGCUAAUACCGCAUACGACCUGAGGGUGAAAGUGGGGGACCGCAAGGCCUCAUGCUAUAGGAGCGGCCGAUGUCUGAUUAGCUAGUUGGUGGGGUAAAGGCCCACCAAGGCGACGAUUAGUAGCUGGUCUGAGAGGACGAUCAGCCACACUGGGACUGAGACACGGCCCAGACUCCUACGGGAGGCAGCAGUGGGGAAUUUUGGACAAUGGGGGCAACCCUGAUCCAGCAAUGCCGCGUGUGUGAAGAAGGCCUUCGGGUUGUAAAGCACUUUUGUCCGGAAAGAAAUCGCACUUACUAAUAUUAGGUGUGGAUGACGGUACCGGAAGAAUAAGGACCGGCUAACUACGUG
RNAcentral lists this ribosomal RNA (490 nucleotides) under uncultured bacterium. RNAcentral's name for it is "partial 16S ribosomal RNA". It matches the Rfam family "Bacterial small subunit ribosomal RNA", at positions 30 to 507 of the family's 1533-position model. The record is from RNAcentral.